Molecule: ribosomal RNA, 170 nt
Filed under: uncultured bacterium
Lineage: Bacteria
Description: partial 16S ribosomal RNA
Rfam family: Bacterial small subunit ribosomal RNA
Source: RNAcentral
UGGGUGAUCUGCCCUGCACUUUGGGAUAAGCCUGGGAAACUGGGUCUAAUACCGAAUACACUCUGCUGGUCGCAUGGCCUGGUGGGGAAANCUUUUGCGGUGUGGGAUGGGCCCGCGGCCUAUCAGCUUGUGGUGGGUNAUGGCCUACAAGGCGACGACGGGUANCUGGU